RNAcentral lists this long non-coding RNA (369 nucleotides) under Lathyrus oleraceus (garden pea). Its description in RNAcentral is "Pisum sativum (pea) long non-coding RNA (PSAT_LNC022596)". Lineage: Eukaryota; Viridiplantae; Streptophyta; Magnoliopsida; Fabales; Fabaceae. The record is from RNAcentral.
CAAUCACAAUCUAAGGAAUUGUGAUCAACUCAAGAACACCAAUUUCAAAAUAUAAUAAAAAAUAUCAUCCAAACAAAUUAAUCGCAUGAUCCAUGAAAUCAAUAAUUUACAAACCGAAAAAAAAAGAUUGAGAGAGAGAAAGAAAGAGAGAGAGAGAGAGACUGAGAGAGAGAGUACAUAAGGAUUUUUUUAGGUAGUUCCUCAAUUGACCUCGCUAUGGGUAUGUCUGCCCUCAAUUCAAACUAGAAUUGAGAUAGUGUAAUUAACCUUACUUCGCAAAAAGCGUAUCCAAGAUAAAUAUAACAAUCUAAUCACACAAAUCCUAAGCUUGGUGUUGAUUCUAACACUUUCUCUUCCCUUGAACAAAUC